GGAUAUAGCUCUGUUGGAAGAGUGCUUCCCUUACAUGCACAAGGCCCUGGGUUCAAUCCCCAGCACCA
This 68-nucleotide transfer RNA is filed under the name Marmota monax (woodchuck). RNAcentral describes it as "tRNA.Val". The record is from RNAcentral. Lineage: Eukaryota; Metazoa; Chordata; Mammalia; Rodentia; Sciuridae.